UUCGUAGUGAACCUGCGGAA
This 20-nucleotide ribosomal RNA is filed under the name Barnettozyma vustinii. RNAcentral's name for it is "partial 18S ribosomal RNA". Lineage: Eukaryota; Fungi; Ascomycota; Saccharomycetes; Phaffomycetales; Phaffomycetaceae. The record is from RNAcentral.